ACGUUCUUGAGCGUUCAUAGCUCGUUUUCUUCGUUAUAAGUCAAAAUUCAACCGUUCUUGAGUCCAUGACUCUUGAAUAUGUUAUACUACGCUAUGCCAUCAAAAACUAGGGUUUCUGAACUAAACGACAAGUUUUGACUACUAAUCCAAAAUUAUACGAUUUCAACGUUUAACGUCUAAUUUCGUAAAAUUCGCCAUAACUUCGUUACUCAUGUUUUAUAUGCCAAAUCAAAUGGAACCACUCCAUUGAUUCAUUGUCUAUAUCCUAACCAAGCAAUAUUCACAUACCCUAUAAAUGAUGGUUUUCAAUUUGUCCAUCAACAACCAAAUCAAUGUUCAAUGGUUUCUUUGGUUUAAACUUACUUAAACACUUGAGAUUUCUACUUAAACAUGGCUUGUAAAUAUUUAAUUCACUAUUAGCCAUCCUUAUUCCUCCGGAAGAGACAUGCUCCACCAAUUUAUGAUUCUCUACGAAAACUAAAUUUAAACGAAUCGAAAACUAAGGUUUUACGAGUUAUUACCUUUACGUUCUCCGCGUUCUUGCUAAAAACUCUUAUGAUUUGCUUCAAGCUCACUUGAUUACUUGUUUCUAGCUCUUUUAUCUCUCUCAAAUAUGUUUGUUAAAGUUUGUAAAGUAACAAAUGACCAAGCUAAGCUUCCUUUUAUAAGAAAAUCUAUUGGAGGGCAUUUUAUCCUUUUGGUAAUCUCCUCACUAUUCACACCUCCACAAAAACUUAACCACCAAGUAAACACUUUACA
This 759-nucleotide long non-coding RNA is filed under the name Panax ginseng (ginseng). Its description in RNAcentral is "long non-coding RNA (PGIN_LNC005600)". Lineage: Eukaryota; Viridiplantae; Streptophyta; Magnoliopsida; Apiales; Araliaceae. The record is from RNAcentral.